RNAcentral lists this ribosomal RNA (1423 nucleotides) under Melanophryniscus setiba (Restinga toadlet). RNAcentral's name for it is "partial 16S ribosomal RNA". It matches the Rfam family "Bacterial large subunit ribosomal RNA", at positions 424 to 2597 of the family's 2925-position model. Lineage: Eukaryota; Metazoa; Chordata; Amphibia; Anura; Bufonidae. The record is from RNAcentral.
GCCAAAACUCCAGCCCUAAUAUUCCUAUGUAAACCCCCCUCCUCCAUCACUACAUCAAAACAUUUUCAUAGUUUAGUAAAGGAGAUUAAAAAAUUAACAGGAGCUAUAAAACUAGUACCGCAAGGGAAAGAUGAAAUAAAAAUGAAAAACAUCAAGCAAAGAAAAGUAGAGAUUAUUACUCGUACCUUUUGCAUCAUGGUUUAACUAGUCUAAUCAAGCAAAACGAACUAAAGUUUGACCCCCCGAAACUAAGCGAGCUACUUCAAGGCAGCUAUAAGAGCCAACCCGUCUCUGUUGCAAAAGAGUGGGAAGACCUUCAAGUAGAGGUGACAGACCUAACGAGCUUAGUGAUAGCUGGUUACUCAAGAAAAGGAUUUAAGUCCAACCUAAAAUUCAACCUAUAUUACUGAAUAGAACAAUAAAUUUUAGAGCAAUUCUGUUAAGGUACAGCUUACCAGAUAAAGGAUACAACCUAAAGCAACGGGUCAUUUAUACAUAUCCUCAAACAAGUAGGCCUAAAAGCAGCCAUCUUUAAAAAAGCGUCAAAGCUUAGUUGCUACCAUAAUAAAAUUUCAUAAAAACACAACAUCCCUUCACCUGGUACUGAGUAACUCUAUAUUACUAUAGAGCCUUUUAUGUUAAAACUAGUAACAAGAAGAUACCCUUCUCUUAAAUACAAGUGUAAACCAGUAAGGAUAAGCCACUGGUACUUACCGCAAUUGAACUAAAAAUGGUAACUCAACAAGAAAAUCCCACUUUAGACAGCGUUAACCUAACACAAGAGUAUUAAAAGAAAGAUUUAAAGGGAAAGAAGGAACUCGGCAAAUUUUAACCUCGCCUGUUUACCAAAAACAUCGCCUCUCGAACACCUAUAAGAGGUCCAGCCUGCCCAGUGACUCUGUUCAACGGCCGCGGUAUCCUAACCGUGCGAAGGUAGCGUAAUCACUUGUUCUUUAAAUAAGGACUAGUAUGAAUGGCACCACGAGGGUUAUACUGUCUCCUCUCCCUAAUCAGUGAAACUAAUCUCCCCGUGAAGAAGCGGGGAUCAUCUUAUAAGACGAGAAGACCCUAUGGAGCUUCAAACUAAAUGACAACUGUUGAUAAACAUCUCAAUUUCCGCAAUAAUAAACCACAUUUAACACCAUGAUCAUUAGUUUUAGGUUGGGGUGACCGCGGAGCAAAAUACAACCUCCACACUGAAUGGAUAACUAUCCUAAUCUGAGAGCCACUACUCCAAACAUCAAAAAAUUGACACCUAUUGACCCAAUAUAUUGAUCAACGAACCAAGUUACCCUAGGGAUAACAGCGCAAUCCGCUUCAAGAGCUCCUAUCGACAAGCGGGUUUACGACCUCGAUGUUGGAUCAGGGUAUCCUAGUGGUGUAGCCGCUACUAAAGGUUCGUUUGUUCAACGAUUAAAACCCU